CAAUAGCGUAUAUUUAAGUUGUUGCAGUUAAAAAGCUCGUAGUUGGAUUUCGGAUGGGACUUGCCGGUCCGUCGUUUCGAUGUGCACUGGCCAGUCCUAUCUUGUUGUCGGGGACUAGCUCCUGGGCUUCACUGUCCGGGACUAGGAGCUGACGAGGUUACUUUGAGUAAAUUAGAGUGUUCAAAGCAAGCCUACGCUCUGAAUACAUUAGCAUGGAAUAACACGAUAGGACUCUGGCUUAUCUUGUUGGUCUGUGAGACCAGAGUAAUGAUUAAGAGGGACAGUCGGGGGCAUUCGUAUUUCCUUGUCAGAGGUGAAAUUCUUGGAUUUAUGAAAGACGAACUUCUGCGAAAGCAUUUGUCAAGGAUGUUUUCAUUAA
Molecule: ribosomal RNA, 379 nt
Filed under: uncultured eukaryote
Lineage: Eukaryota
Description: partial 18S ribosomal RNA
Rfam family: Eukaryotic small subunit ribosomal RNA
Source: RNAcentral